UGCUAAUACCCGAUAUGCCGAGAGGUGAAACCUAAUUGGCCUGAAGAAGAGCUUGCGUCUGAUUAGCUAGUUGGUGGGGUAAGGGCCUACCAAGGCGACGAUCAGUAGCUGGUCUGAGAGGAUGAGCAGCCACACUGGGACUGAGACACGGCCCAGACUCCUACGGGAGGCAGCAGUGGGGAAUUUUCCGCAAUGGGCGAAAGCCUGACGGAGCAACGCCGCGUGAGGGAGGAAGGUCUUUGGAUUGUAAACCUCUUUUCUCAAGGAAGAAGUUCUGACGGUACUUGAGGAAUCAGCCUCGGCUAACUCCGUGCCAGCAGCCGCGGUAAUACGGGGGAGGCAAGCGUUAUCCGGAAUUAUUGGGCGUAAAGCGUCCGCAGGUGGUCAGCCAAGUCUGCCGUCAAAUCAGGUUGCUUAACUACCUAAAGGCGGUGGAAACUGGCAGACUAGAGAGCAGUAGGGGUAGCAGGAAUUCCCAGUGUAGCGGUGAAAUGCGUAGAGAUUGGGAAGAACAUCGGUGGCGAAAGCGUGCUACUGGGCUGUAUCUGACACUCAGGGACGAAAGCUAGGGGAGCGAAAGGGAUUAGAUACCC
Molecule: ribosomal RNA, 593 nt
Filed under: uncultured Microcystis sp.
Lineage: Bacteria; Bacillati; Cyanobacteriota; Cyanophyceae; Chroococcales; Microcystaceae
Description: bacterial SSU rRNA
Rfam family: Bacterial small subunit ribosomal RNA
Source: RNAcentral